This 728-nucleotide unclassified non-coding RNA is filed under the name Hevea brasiliensis (rubber tree). Lineage: Eukaryota; Viridiplantae; Streptophyta; Magnoliopsida; Malpighiales; Euphorbiaceae. The record is from RNAcentral.
AAAUUAAAUAUAAUGUAAUCCUCACCACCUUCUUCUCUCAAAAAUAAUUACCAGCUGCUCCCUGCUUCAAAAUAAUUAGAAAUCUUCAUCACAAACAAUGAUCACUCUCUCUAAAAUCUUUCUUCUCUUUCUACACAGCUAAUCAAGAUUUUUAUUAAAUCAAAUUUACAACUCUCUUUUUAUAUAUCUAUUUAAUUACCAGUAAUUAAUUCAUGUGGAUGACCUUCAAGAAUAACUACAUAUGGGCAGGCAGGGGUUAUUCGCAUCUCUGCAUUUGUCAUCUGCUAGUAGUAAUCCUCAUCAGCAAGCAUAGAACUCAACCAGCUCGUCUAGAGACUCCGGCUGUGGAUCAGCGUUCUCCAACAUCCAUAGCAAGUGUUCGAACAAAACCACCUCGCAUGCUAUGCUGAUCGUAUCAGACUCGCUCGACCUCUCUGCAAGCUCGCGAAACAGCGGAUGGUCGAUCACGUCCGAGCUUAUGAGGUAGCGUCUGCGAGAUUUUCCCACGUAAACUGGGUGAAGGUCUCCCGAGUGGGAGGAGGAUGUGUCGUCCACGGUGGCGGCAAUGGAACUCCCACUGGGGCGGCUUUGCUUAUUGAAUGAGUUGAGUUUCUUGAGGACUGACUUGAGCUUGUUUAGCUUGCCUCCUUUGGCCAUUGCUUGGGUUUUAAGAAUUAUGGAAGAAUAGAAAAUCCUUGGACAAAGAGGAAUGGGCUAUUGUUGCUGAA